RNAcentral lists this ribosomal RNA (705 nucleotides) under uncultured Alphaproteobacteria bacterium. Its description in RNAcentral is "bacterial SSU rRNA". It matches the Rfam family "Bacterial small subunit ribosomal RNA", at positions 34 to 717 of the family's 1533-position model. The record is from RNAcentral. Lineage: Bacteria; Pseudomonadati; Pseudomonadota; Alphaproteobacteria.
AGUUCGUUGUAAAUGAUAUAUGACAUGGACCUGACGAACUUGUUCAACAGACACACGUGAACAGUUGAACUUUACAACCAAUGGCCUUUAGUUGGCGGACUGUGUGAGUAACACGUAAGCAACCUGCCUAUCAGAGGGGAACAACAGUUAGAAAUGACUGCUAAUACCGCAUAUGCCUAAGUACCACAUGGUACAAUAGGGAAAGGAGCAAUCUGCUGAUAGAUGGGCUUGCGUCUGAUUAGAUAGUUGGUGGGGUAACGGCCUACCAAGUCAACGAUCAGUAGCCGGACUGAGAGGUUGAACGGCCACAUUGGGACUGAGGUACGGCCCAGACUCCUACGGGAGGCAGCAGUCGGGAAUAUUGGACAAUGGGGGAAACCCUGAUCCAGCAAUGCAGCGUGAGUGACGAAGGCCUUAGGGUUGUAAAACUCUUUCAUCGGUGAGGAUAAUGACAGUAGCCGAAGAAGAAGGACCGGCUAAUUCCGUGCCAGCAGCCGCGGUAAUACGGAAGGUCCUAGCGUUGUUCGGAAUUACUGGGCGUAAAGCGCAUGUAGGCGGAACAAAAAGUUAGAAGUGAAAUCCCUGGGCUCAACCUAGGAAUUGCUUUUAAAACUUUUGUCUUGGAAUUCAGGAGAGGAAAAUGGAAUUUCCAAGUGUUAGCAGGUGAAAUUACGUAAGAUCAUUCGGAAGGAACACACAGUGGCG